UCUUCCUUCCUUCCUUCCCCCCUCUCUCCCUCUUUUUGCUUUUUAAGGCCCCACCCAUGGCAUAUGGAGUGGAUCAAGAAAAGGCAAAAAGAAAAAACAAAAAAAAAAAGGGAUACUGCCAGAGUCUGGACUAUGGUGACAAUAACCAAGGCAUAUUCACUGCACCAACCAGAAAAGUCUGGGCUCUCUGCUCACAAAGAAAUCCUUCUAUCUCAGUAGCUUAAAAGAAAAAGCCUUAUGUCCUAAUUCUACCACAUCUGAUGUGGAUAGACAGUCCUUUCCCAUCUUGUUUUUCUGCCAUUUGGAACCCAUGGUCUCCAAGGUUCCCACAGGCGGGAAAAAAGAGAGGAAAGGCACAUCAGUCCUCCUAGAACUUGAGCCACUUCCACUGACAUUCAACUUGCCACCACGCAGUCUUCUGGCUCCAACCUAAGGGAGCAGACUGGGAAAUGUGCUAUUUUGUGUGCCCAGGAAGAACAGACAGGGUGUGAGUCCAGAGAUCUGUCUGGAAAGCAGCCUUCUCCUGGGACCACUUUGUUAUCUGCUCACUGAGCACCCACAGUUGUGUGUGGUAGGCUGCUGGUCUCUUUGUUCACAUCCCGUGGCACCCAUAGGUGGCCAAGACCUGAAGCCUAAGUGCUUGGUCAGCCCAGUGGUCAAAGCAGUGGGAAUCUAGGCAGACAGUGUGGUCAGAGCUCCACCUGUGGUGGUGAGGGGGGUCUGGAAUCUGUUGACUAGAACUGGGUCUUCAGCUUGACCCCCAUUCCACUGUAUCCCUUGCUUAUCCUCCUGCCAGCUCUGCCUUGUGGCUGAACUUGGAGAUUCUAAUGGGUGACACAGAGGGAAUAGAAAGGAAAUGAAUCUAGCAUAUUAUAGCUUUAUUAUAAUCCGUUAUUAGGUCAGACCUAAUAACAACAAUAUUUUUAUAAUACAUCAUAGAUUUGCACAAAGCAGUUUUAUCCUGAUGGCUGUAUUUUAUCAUCACAAUGAUCCUGGAACUAAGUAGCAGAAUUAUCAUAAUCUUACACAUGAGAAAAUCAAGGCUCAAAGAAUGGAAACAUCAUGUUCAAGAUCACUCAGAUAGCCUAUGCUGGACAUGACCCUGGAGCCUGGGACUUCUCACUCGUGUCCAAUUCGGACUUUUCCCUUGUGUGUCUUAGGGAGACACUGGACGCGCAGUACUGCUCAGGUCUGUGCCACGGGAGCAAACCAGGUCUUCGAACUUAAGUCAUUUACAUGAUCCAUCUGGACAAAGAGGCCUACUGCAUUUUAGAAAACAAUCUAUAAAGAUCAGGAGAGAAUAUUUAAGUAGGGACUAAUUUAGUUCUUCCAGUCCAAAGGGACAAUUAUGCACCACAAAGAUGAAAGUUUUUUUUCCCCCACAAUGAAUGUACGGUUUACUAUUGGUAUUGCACACUCUGUAGGUUUGGGUAAAUGUACAGUGACAUGUAUCCAUCAGGAUAAUAUCAUACGGAGUAUUUUCACUGCCUGAAAAGUUCUAUCUUUCACCUGUUGCUCCUUCCCCUUCCCCUAAUCCCUCACAACCUCUGAUCUUUAUACUAAGACACAAGUUUUUAUUUUUUAUUUUUUGUCUUUUUGUCUUCUUAGGGCUGCACCCACAGCAUAUGGACGUUCCCAGGCUAGGGGUCAAAUUGGAGCUGUAGCUGCUGGCCUAAACCACAGCCACAGCAAUGCCAGAUCCUUAACCCACUGAGUGAGGCCAGGGAUCGAACGCGAAACCUCAUGGUUCCUAGUCGGAUUCAUUAACCACUGAGCCACGAGGGCAACUCCCUAAGACACAAGUUUUUAAAUGGUCCCCAACCUCAAUCAGUCUCCAUGGCCCUGCCCAGGCUGCUCUUUCCCCACAGAGGUCUUCCUCUUAGUUCUUAGCCCAAUAAUCUCAUCUGUCUGCUGCCUGUUCAAAUGCCACUCUCUCCUCCCUCAGCUUUCCCCAAGCUCCCCAAGUAGAAUUAGUCAAUCUGCCUUCUCCAAGGCACCCCCAAAUGUGCCUCUUCUUUCCUGAGAACAAAUCACAUACAUGUUCAGGUUGUUGAUCUGCGGUAGAGGUGGGCAGAGGGGAGGGGUGCAUGGUAUUUUUUUCUCCUUCAGAUCAGUCCUUGUUUUUCUGAAGGCAGGAAUCAAGCCUUUUCCUACUCUGCAUCUCCAGGGUCCUGUGUGGUUUGGGCCAUGAGUUAAAAGUUCAUGGAAUGAAAAAAGAAAUGGCUUGGGAGAGAGGACUCACCUUCCUAAGAUGCCCAAUAUACUGAAGCUCGAUUCCUAGAAUUUUGAAGGCAGGGGACCAGAGUGAAAGAAACUGGGUGGAAGAAAAGAAAGGGGCUGCACCAGCAGAUGCUUAGAAAUUUCUGGGGUCUGAACUUAAGUCACUGGAAUAUGAAGCCCCUGACAACAGUGACCUCUCUGUUCUUCUAUCCCCUCCCUGUGCUACUGGACUUUGUUCAUCAUUUCUGACCUGAUCAGUGCUGUGAUUCUCUGUGGCGAUGUAUCAGCCUCUCUGUGCAGGGAGCCAAAGAGAGUGUGGAGGAGUAAAGGGUGCGGUUGGGAGGACAGGCUCUGGGUACUUCUCCCAGAAAGAUCCUUCCCAGUCAUUAUGGGGUGUUCUCUGCUUAGGCACUGGGAAAAUCUGAAUCUGCUCUCAGAAGCGGGAUGGAUAAAGUAAAAGGGGUUGAUAAAAUGUAAAAAUUUCCAGUUUCUCUUCCCACAGCUUGACUUCCAAAAGUCUACCAACCCAACAGCAUGUCCAUUGACUCCUCUAUAAAGGAGUCUAAUGAUACUUCGCCCAACUCAAGGAGGAGCAGCGAGGCUUAAUUAACCAACGCUCAUUUCUUUCAGCACUUUGGAUGUCCUCCAUGGGCGCAAAAUUAUGUUAUUACUUGGAAUAAUAAUAAUAGUUCCCCCUAAUAAUUCUGUGUUAUUACUGCAUUUAAGGAACUGCAUUAGAGGCCUUCUGGAUCUAGUUUAAUACCUAUAAAUGUCUCUCCCUGGCAAAACAAGGGAGCAGUGCCCGGUGAUUAUGGUUUGUCUUACAUUUCAAAAUUAGUCGGUUCAAACCCUCCGCAGAGUCCUUAAAAGAGAGCCCGGCCAAGGGGGACCUCUUUUGAUCUCCAUUCGUUGGACCACGGAAAGCACUUAACUUUCGCAAGGCGGCUUGGCUUUCAAGGCGAGGACUUGGCAACUCUGGAGGCCCAACCUAGCACUGAAAAGAUAGGCAUGCAGCCAAGAUAAGCAGGUCCAACCUCCCCCCUGCAGCCAGAGCAGGGUGCCCAUAGCACAGAUCUGAUCUCUGCUGCCCCCCUGCUUCUUCCUGCAGUCCCUUCUAGCUCUCAGAGUCAAAUCUAAAGUCCCCUCCACCUCACUCCAAGACACUGUCACUUGCAGCACCAUUUUGAUCUUUUAUUUCUUCAAACACACCAGGAACUCUCUCUCUCCUUGGGUCUUUAACAAGUUGCCUUUGCAAACCUCUUCUUUCCUGUCCUUACCUCCAGCUUUCAGGUAGGUGGUAUCUCUUUCCCUAGCCCUCUUGCCAAAUCCUUGGUUUCCUGGGCCAAAGCACUUGGCAGAGGGCAGAGCACCUGCCUGUUGAAUUCCAGGUCUGCCCAUGAAACUGGGUGGGAGCACAAGGUAUGCCUAUCCUGUGCCCUCAGUCUGCACAUAGUAGGGGCUUGAUCAGUAUUUGCUGAAUGCAUGCAAGCAUAGAAUUUCACUCUUUCUUCUCUUUUGCUUCAUUUCCUUAUAUUUGAUGCCCCAAUUUCCACCCAAAUCCUUUCCUACUCCUCCUCUUUAUCAAUCAUGAGCAAGGAAAAUGGAUAAAGAGGGAGAAAGGAAAAGAAGGAGUAGAUUCCUAAAAGGGGAGAAAGACUACAGGUGGGAAGGAUGAGGAACGAGGCAAAAUGAGAAAGGAAAAGGAACAUCUGGGAGGGGACGAUCUGAAAUGAAAGGUGGUGACAAGUCCAUGGAUUCUAACAUGUAAAGGUGAGAUUAAAACUACCCUUAAAUUUUCUUUCUCAGGAAUUCUCACCUAUGAGAAUGGGGAGGGCGGGGAGAAGCUGUAAGGAUACUUUACAUAUGUUAUCGCCUUUCUAAUUCUGCCCACUCUAUUAGACAGUAAUUAUUGCUUCAGGUAACAGAGGAAGGCAGGGAAGCUCAGAAAGGUAGAGGCCCCUGCUCAAGGGUGCACAGCAAUAAGUGGCAAAGCCCAACACGAAACCUCAAUGUGUCUGAAUCCCAACUGUCCAUUUAGAAAAGCAGGAUCCCCACUCCACUGAUGGAGCAUUCUUCCUCUGGGGCUCUAGGGCCACCAAGUGUCCUUUCUCUUUGAGAUGCAGAAGAGAAAGGCAGUAAUGUAACUAAAAAGAGAAAAAAAAAAAAAAGAAAGAAAAAGCUUAGCAUCCAGUUAUGUUUUAAAUGCUGCACUUUGAAGAAUGGUUUUUAACUUUUGCCUGAAACAAACAAAAAAUUCCUCUUUUCUUUCAUCAGAGUGAAAAUGAAUUGAACUGAUUUUCCUUGGCUCUUGGUUUGUCUUUCCUAUUAUUAGGUACAUGUCUUGGAGCCCUUCUGCGUAAAUAGGUCCGGCAAGAAAGUUGUUAGUUCCUCAUCAUGGCAAAAUUUUCUGCCGUGGAUUGGGUCUGGCAGACAGAACUGUGUUUGUGGAUUUUUGCAAAAGCAGCACAACGAAGCCCAACAGCAUACACCCUCCAUCACCAUUUGCCUUUUGGAAGGCUCUGUGACAUCAAUUAAUAGAUGCCAGCAGUCCAGAUGCUUACUGACAUCUAAAUAACUUAGUCGCACUCUGUGGUUUUCUAGAUCUAAAUUCCCCUUGCCUUUGGGGAAUGAAAUUAAAAACAAAAGUCCUGCACAGAACAGGAAAUGGUCUUGUCUUUGAUUUAUGUUAUUACUGGAACUGUGGUCCUUGAAAGCAAUUCCAUCACUACCAUAAUGAGGACGAAGAUGCAGUUAACUAGUCAACCCUUCAGGAGCGUGCUCUGAUGCUCUUGAACUCUUCAUGAAACAAUGAUGUACAAAAAGGGGGAAAGGUUUUAAAAUAACACCACGAUACAGACACUUAUCCUCAGCAGGGUGAAUCAAGGGCUAGAAUAUCAUGUGUAAGAGAAGCAAGUUGAUCAUCAAUAAUAACAAGUUUCUUCUAAAACUACUAGGUAACUUUGCCUUUCUUACUCCUGGGCCUAGCUUUGAAAAGGGAAGAGAGAACCGAAGCCUAUCUGUGAUUCAAUCAGAAAAUGCAAAUGAGGUCAAGUUUCUUACAGGCUCGUGAGAUUUCCCUAGAGAAAUUUCCACAGCGUCUAGGCUGCUGCCGGUGCCCUUUGGAGGCUGGGGCUUGUCUGCGGAGAGAAAGGCAGGCAGUGAGAGCCCCUCCUUCUUUCCGGGGACCUCUGGCUGCUGGGCACUUGAAUACCAAUAAAGGACUUGUGAGAGUUUGGGGAAUACUAUCGGUGGGGGGUUGAGGUCCAGCCAGACCCACACAGGAAAAGGUGGCCUUUUCGUGGGUGGGGCUCACAGCCCGCCUCUUUAUCCUUUCUCAGAGUAAGGACCCUCCACCCCCGAAUGGGGCAGGAGGGUGGCUCCCUGCGGAGAAAGGAUUCUAGAAGCAUCCUGUCUGCUACUAGGAUGGUGACUCUGCUCCGGUGAACUCUCCAGGGUGUCCGGAAAGGAAAUCUCUCUCACACAACCCCUCCCCUCUCUGACAACCUAAACGGAAAAAGUGUGAGAGUGUGUGUGUGUGUGUGUGUGUGUGUGUGUGUGUGUGUGUGUGUUUCACACGGCUCAGUCCUCCCCUGGCCACAGGAGUCUGAAGCCAUCCUGAUAUCUUAAGAUUGGGAAACUCUUCAUUUGGGAAAAGCUGACAAGUGAUGCUGCAAGUCAGGACGCUGUCCUCUGCCUUCCAGCGACCUAAGGCUGGCUCAGGGAAUUUAUAGGGUUUCUCUUUGCUCCAACAGGUUGCAGCAUGUGUGUCAAAAGCAGCCUGUUGUUUUUUUUUUUUCUUCCCAGAGAUAGGUAAACAUUGUCCAUCCAAACUAUAUGCCAGUUCCCCUAAGUUAUAAAAGGCUAGACAGUAUCAGAAGCUGGCCCUCAAGGGGUUGAGAAAAACGGGAGCCAGAGCCCCCCAGCUCUGAGCAAGCCAGAGGUCUCACAGAAAGCAAACCCUGGAU
RNAcentral lists this long non-coding RNA (6185 nucleotides) under Sus scrofa (pig). Its description in RNAcentral is "lncRNA (ENSSSCG00040038161.1)". Lineage: Eukaryota; Metazoa; Chordata; Mammalia; Artiodactyla; Suidae. The record is from RNAcentral.